Molecule: long non-coding RNA, 555 nt
Filed under: Struthio camelus australis
Lineage: Eukaryota; Metazoa; Chordata; Aves; Struthioniformes; Struthionidae
Description: lncRNA (ENSSCUG00000010732.1)
Source: RNAcentral
GGGAAGGAUUGUUGGAGCUGCUCCAUCUGCUGAGAGACCAAAGUCUCUUCAUAGGAGUUUCCUAAGAAACAUCAGACCCCAAAACCAACAGAGCCAAUUGUGUGAUCCUUAUGAUCAAGCAACAUGACUCUCUAGUGAUACAAGGCAGCUUUUGUUUACAGACUGUGUUUUGUAUGCGUCCUGUCAAAUUAAGUCAGCGAACACAUCCACUGCCUAAAGCCGCCACGGUCCUGGCACGGGGUCGAGCAGGCAAGUAAAGCAUGUGGGGGAAGGGAGUAGCGCUGAAACCCUAUGAAUGUUUCAUCUCUUCCAGCCGCGAGUCCUCAUCACAAGUGUGAGAGCCAGGCGAGGAGGCAUCCAUCCCCCUUUAUCCUUGAAAUUACAGUGAAGGCAAGACAGAAAAAGGCAGAAGGAAUAUUUUUGAAGAACCUAAAGCCGAUAUGCCCCUCUAGCACUCAAGAGAUGCCUAUGGAAGUUCUCGAUGCAUACAUUAGAUUUUGCUGCAUGAAUCUUCUUAAACUUCAUAUCUGCCUGCAUUCUGGGAGUUUGGCGUAG